Molecule: long non-coding RNA, 552 nt
Filed under: Trifolium pratense (red clover)
Lineage: Eukaryota; Viridiplantae; Streptophyta; Magnoliopsida; Fabales; Fabaceae
Description: long non-coding RNA (TPRA_LNC008319)
Source: RNAcentral
UUGAUUAGUUCCAUUCUUAACAAGAUCUAGUAUUAAACACUUUAUCUGUAGUUUUUUCUAUUCAUUUACACAUUCCUUUGUAUACCGUGAAUCGAAUAAUUUUCAGGUAAAGAAGCUCUACACCCAAAGGGAAGAUUAAAUCAAAUAGUAUAUAAAGAUCUAAUGGGAGAGUGACAUAGUUAAAUUGGAAGAGAUUGUCCACGUUGCACUCAUAUUUAGACAUUUUAGGUGACUGUUGAUUUUUUUGAUUUUUUGUGGAAUUGAAUUUGCCACUAAACAUUAGUAGUAAGGCACCACAGGAAAUUUUAUGAAUCUGGUGACAUUAGUACUAAGGCGUUUUUCUUGUACCAAAGAUCAGCUAUUUGAAACCGGUGGUGUCAUACAUACAUGCUUAUAAGCAAAUGAUUGAUUAAGUUUGUCAUUUUCAUGCCUCUAAUUAUAUUUGAGUUGUAUUUUGUUGGAUUAUUUUAUAACCGAUACUUAGUUAUGUUGUACUUCACGUCACUUAUUUCUUAUGUAUUGUUUGAUUUUAUGAUUAAUAAAAAUUUGUUU